CUCGGCUCUUUGAGUGCUUGAUGUGAUCAAUCCGCACAUUGAUCCUCUUGGCCAGAAUCUUGCCCUUAACUUGCUUGUUUACAAUGAUGCCCACGGCAUGCUGGGUGAAGGAGAAUGAUCAGAAGAAAAAGGAAGCCAAAGAGAAGGGCACCUGGGUUCAGCUGAAGCGCCAGCCUGCACCACCCAGAGAAGCACACUUUGUGAGGACCAACAGAAAAGAGCCUGAGCUGUUGGAGCCCAUUCCAUAUGAAUUUAUGGCCUAAUAUACAAAAAAGAAAUAAAGGACCCAGACUGCUAAAAAAAAAAAAAAAAAGAAAAA
Molecule: long non-coding RNA, 319 nt
Organism: Mastomys coucha (southern multimammate mouse)
Lineage: Eukaryota; Metazoa; Chordata; Mammalia; Rodentia; Muridae
Exons: 2
Source: RefSeq, a predicted model, not a curated record